AUUGAACGCUGGCGGCAGGCCUAACACAUGCAAGUCGAGCGGAUGAAGGGAGCUUGCUCCUGGAUUCAGCGGCGGACGGGUGAGUAAUGCCUAGGAAUCUGCCUGGUAGUGGGGGAUAACGUCCGGAAACGGGAGCUAAUACCGCAUACGUCAUGAGGGAGAAAGUGGGGGAUCUUCGGACAUCACGCUAUCAGCUGAGACUAGGUCGGAUUAGCUAGUUGGUGGGGUAAAGGCCUACCAAGGCGACGAUCCGUAACUGGUCUGAGAGGAUGAUCAGUCACACUGGAACUGAGACACGGUCCAGACUCCUACGGGAGGCAGCAGUGGGGAAUAUUGGACAAUGGGCGAAAGCCUGAUCCAGCCAUGCCGCGUGUGUGAAGAAGGUCUUCGGAUUGUAAAGCACUUUAAGUUGGGAGGAAGGGCAGUAAGUUAAUACCUUGCUGUUUUGACGUUACCAACAGAAUAAGCACCGGCUAACUUCGUG
This 484-nucleotide ribosomal RNA is filed under the name uncultured bacterium. RNAcentral describes it as "partial 16S ribosomal RNA". It matches the Rfam family "Bacterial small subunit ribosomal RNA", at positions 30 to 507 of the family's 1533-position model. The record is from RNAcentral.